GACGAACGCUGGCGGCGUGCUUAACACAUGCAAGUCGAACGGUAAGGCCCUUCGGGGUACACGAGUGGCGAACGGGUGAGUAACACGUGGGUGAUCUGCCCUGCACUUCGGGAUAAGCCUGGGAAACUGGGUCUAAUACCGGAUAGGACCACUGCCUGCAUGGGUGGUGGUGGAAAGCUUUUGCGGUGUGGGAUGGGCCCGCGGCCUAUCAGCUUGUUGGUGGGGGGAUGGCCUACCAAGGAGACGACGGGUAGCCGGCCUGAGAGGGUGACCGGCCACACUGGGACUGGGAUACGGCCCAGACUCCUACGGGAGGCAGCAGUGGGGAAUAUUGCACAAUGGGCGCAAGCCUGAUGCAGCGACGCCGCGUGAGGGAUGACGGCCUUCGGGUUGUAAACCUCUUUCAGCACCGACGAAGCGCAAGUGACGGUAGGUGCAGAAGAAGGACCGGCCAACUACGUGCCAGCCGCCGCCGUAA
Molecule: ribosomal RNA, 478 nt
Filed under: uncultured bacterium
Lineage: Bacteria
Description: partial 16S ribosomal RNA
Rfam family: Bacterial small subunit ribosomal RNA
Source: RNAcentral